This is a long non-coding RNA of Gasterosteus aculeatus aculeatus (three-spined stickleback), 499 nucleotides long. NCBI's taxonomy places the organism in Eukaryota, Metazoa, Chordata, Actinopteri, Perciformes, Gasterosteidae. The record is from Ensembl.
CGACACCGAACGGGCCGCUCGCUGUGAAAGAAACAAGUCUGUUGUUUUUAUUUAACAGACAGACAGACAGACAGGUAAUUUGAAUUAAACAACCCGUUUACUCAGUGAUGUUUGCUAACGUUAGCUUGGAGGUCGGCUAACGUGCUAAGCUAGCUGAUGAAGACGUUUGUAAAUAAACAAACAAAGAGAAAGAAGACUGUCAACAAACAAACAAUUUAUAAAAACAACAAAUACAGUUGGACAUCAGUGGACAUCUCCAUGAAAUAAAGGGGAACCGUCAACGGACCGGAUGUUUAAGCGCUCCAGACGCCAACCGUGUCCAAUCGGUUUGGAUCCGCGAUUCAUGGCUCCCCUCGUCCUCCCAUCCAACCGGGUCCACUGAGACAAACCCCUCACCAAUGGAGCUGAAACUCCUACACGCCUCCUCCCUCCACUCCCAAAAGUCAUCUGAGAGGAGUUGAAAGUUGCCUCUUUGAUUCAGCAUCCAGUCACAUUCUGA